CCAAAACAUAACGCACUACUUCAACAUUUGUCUUCAUUGUUGUCUCAUCUGAGCCUGAUGUCUGCUGUGUUGACUUUGAGCCCCCCUCAGCCCUCAUCUCCUCCAGGUUCUCUUAAGUGAUCCCUCUUCAUUGAUCCAGACAUCCCCCAUGAAACCACAUCUAUAAAACUGCGUUCAGCUAAUAUGCAUUUGUGUUCAGCGUCUUGAUCAAGUGAACUGUACUACGUGUUGUUUCCAAACGCACAUGGCAAGACCUCCAUGACUGUGCUAACGUUUGUCAUGUGAGCCCCGACUGCUUCUUUAAGUGCAUUAGUGUUAAGCGAUGACGGUAUGUUGGAUUUUGGAGGGUAGGGGUCAAAAAGAAGCAUCAAAUCACAUUCCACUGGAUAAUAAGAAGGAACUAACGUCAACAAAAACACAAGUAUACAUUCAUCGGAUCAAAUGGAACAUUGGCAUCAUUCACAAUCCAAUCUCUACAUCGAAUAACAAAUAAAAUAAAAUAAAAAUCCCAAUAACCGAGAUAUUUGCACAUGCAGUUCACCAACCUGCUGAUGUUGUUUGCCCAAGUCCUGGAAAUGACUUGAAGUGCUUUUAAACCCAACAAGUCACUCCAAUGAUUUAUUCAACCUGGCGUAGACCUUUGGUGGGUGAAAGCACCCGCGGCAGCAAGGUGUGAUAGGCGUGUGGUGUCACGUUUGUGGUACGCCCAUGUUAGUAGCGGCGAAUUGAACGCGUCUCUCCCGGCUUCAUCCUGCAAGGACUGAUGCUCCAGGAUGUUGUCUCGAAGUGGAUUAGAGGAAAUGAGGGGAGCGGCGAGAGGGCGUCUGGCGGUGUCGGUCGGGGCUACAAUCAUCGUGGCUCGUGUCAAGUACACGGUGCCGAUGAAGUGCUAUUUCUUUUCAUCGCUGUGUGUGAGAUGGGCUUUGAGGUGACGCGGCUCAUGUCCAGGGAACCGGCAGCGCACGUGAGAGGAAGGAACUCCUUUCUCAAAUAUUUGUCCGGAGCUCACUGUACAGACCUUCAAGGCGAGAGACGAGGCCUUUUUCACACCGAUGAACAAAUUCUGGCUCUCACAAUAGAACACUUUGGCAAAAGAGAAGGAAUUAAGGACCGACUCCAGUGAGAAGGUGGCGUGCGGAAAAUGGAUGUGCGUGAUGUUUUGAGGGGUGGGGGGAGGGGGGCGCUCCUGCCUCAUGCAGAUGAGUCUCGGAUCACCCCGUGCACUGCUGGGCCGAUCGUGAGCGCAGCCAGGGUACCGAGCGGAUACUUUUUUUCUCAGGCAACCCAGAAAGAUCAAAUGAAGAGUCUAUUUUCCCUGGUGGAGGCAGCACUUCAUCAGUAAAGCUGUCCAAUUACUUGCUCAAUUCAAUUCUGCUCUGCAGCUCCUUUUGGCUUUGGCAUGGUGCUGCUUCCAUGGCUGCACUUGCUGAUUAUUAUGUAGAUUGGCAACUCUGAUGUUGAAAUUGGUUAAAAAGAACAAACAAUAAUAAGAAUAAAUAACACCUGUCCAGAAAUAUGAAACGAAUAAAAACAUUUCCUCGGUUUGACACUAGCGGGGUGAUCAGACUUGAGCUAAUAUGUCCCCUUUGGCUUGGCAGUUUUCGACAUAGUGCGGCAGUCGCAGGGAUGCUGCAGAUGCCGCAGGUUGACACUGCAGCUCUCGAUAUAGGUGUGGCUCCGCUCCCCCCUGAGCACUUUGCCUUAUCUUACGCGUUUCUUUUACGAGCGCGACACCCGGACAUUCACGUUUGUCGCCAAUCAUAAUGUCUUGCGAAAACAAAACCGAAGGCGGUUAGCAGAUUGUUUCCUCUCCCAUUAUCUUGCGUAACUCCAGCAAAAGUCAUUAAAAGGCACACGGCCGCAUGCUUGCGCUUGGCACACAGGCCUCGUUCAUCGCGACCCGGCCUAUUCUAAUAGGAUUUCAACCAAUUAAACGCAAUUAGAUUCCAACCUCGUGCUCCCAAUGUUAUGGUAUUGCCAUCCGCUGGAACUAGAAAUUCAAGCUAAUUGGUCGACGUCAUCUUCAAAUUUCAUAUCUUGGAGACACCUGGCUGACCUCCCAGCACAAAUCCCUUAUUUGCCCCCCUUCUGAUCUUGAGUGCAUUUCAUCCUAAAAAACAAACAAACUGGAUAUCUUCUCACAGAUAUUACAGAAACGUGACACUUGGGCUUCGCAUGGCUUGAUACGGAAUCACGUCGACCCGAGCUUUGAUUUGAAUUUUUUUGUCUGACUACUUGAGCACUGCUUUUUGGGGAAAGAACAACACGAUCCAAUCAACCCUUUGUUCUGAACUUCCGAAAACAAACUGUAUUUCACUCCUAUGCUGCGACUGAUUUUAGACAUGAGGCGCCGCAAACUCUGGACCGGCCGUCAAUAAGUCACGGGGCGUCUGUAGCCCAGCGAGCACCGUUUACAUCUUUUGAGAGUCUUCAAGUGAUGCUAAUCUGAAUGUUUCGGAAACGCUGAGGACAUGGGGCAAACCUACGUAGGCACGGGCGCGGUAUGCUAACGAGAUUCAAACCCUCACCGUGAAAACUGUGAGGCAGAUCUGCAAAGCACUCGCGCGUCAUCGUGCUACCUCGCAUUUGACCAAUCCAGGCAGAAACAAAGAGGGCGUCAAUGAAAUGCUUUUGACCAAAGUGGGCCUUCCUACAGUGCUCUGGAAUCUCCGAAGCUUAUGCGUAACACAGAUUUUGGCUGAAAACACAAAGCAAACAAAAAACCACAGAAAACAUAACAAAUCGAACGGUGACAGCUUGUAACUCGUAAAACUCGCAGGUCAAGGUCCCACUGCCCAGCUGUUGCGACCUUCGGCUUGUUCUGUCACGUGUUGCUAGCGCGAGUCAUUGGCAUGAUUUGUUUGCCGCAGUCUUGACUCUCGAUGCCACCCGCUCUUCUUCUAUCUGAGCCGGGAGGCAAACCCCUCGCCGUGCCCAUGAAAACGGCAGCAACAUUGUAUCAUGCUUCUUUUAGCAUAAAGCCUGCAAGAAUCCCCCCCCCCUACCCCAACCCCAUUCGACCAGACUGCAUCAUCUUUGGAACCGCCUCGAGGCAACCACAACAUGUCAGUAGCUGUGAAGGAAACAGCCAAGAAUGCCCAUUUCAGCCCAUUGGGCAUUUGUUUACUAAAGUGCUACAAGGUUACAGGUAGCGGCUUUAAACGCAUCUUUUUUUUUGGGGGGGGGGGUCUGCUACAGCUGCAGUGUUGAGUGUCCUGAGGCUGCCACAGGAAGCGCGUCUGUGCAGCAGCAGCAGCAGCAGGAGGAGGAUGGCGAGCUUGCCCAGAAGGGAUGAUGACAUCUCUGCAGACGACACACCCAGCGCUCACUGCAGGGUACCCCUGAGGAUAUUGUCCCUGCCCCCCCCACAUCCCAUGACUCACAACCACGCGCAAGAUUCUGCUCAUCCAGACAUGGCACCGACCGGCACGUUUACCACAGGGAGAUCCAGAUCAGGUAGAUGCAGGUUCUCUGAGAUCGUUCUACCCAUCACACGUGGAACUUAAAAUAGGUGUUGGAGGGGGGGGGGGGGAGCUUCCCAAAUGCGAAAGCAUCCCCAUUUGCUCUGACUAAACAUGUCAAGUCCAUUUUGUUCGAAUAACAAAACACACACGAUGCCAUACAUCACGCAGCUCUGGUGGGUCCGAACUCCCGAGGGCGCUAUCGAACCGUUCUCGCUAGUGAACCGAGUUUGAAAGUUCCGAAUCAAUGUAUUAAAGCCAACAAACCUUA
Molecule: long non-coding RNA, 3732 nt
Organism: Hippocampus zosterae (dwarf seahorse)
Lineage: Eukaryota; Metazoa; Chordata; Actinopteri; Syngnathiformes; Syngnathidae
Exons: 2
Source: RefSeq, a predicted model, not a curated record